UACGUAGGGUGCAAGCGUUAAUCGGAAUUACUGGGCGUAAAGCGUGCGCAGGCGGUUGAUGUACAGACAGAUGUGAAAUCCCCGGGCUCAACCUGGGAAUUGCAUUUGUGACUGCACGGCUAGAGUGUGUCAGAGGGGGGUAGAAUUCCACGUGUAGCAGUGAAAUGCGUAGAGAUGUGGAGGAAUACCGAUGGCGAAGGCAGCCCCCUGGGAUAACACUGACGCUCAUGCACGAAAGCGUGGGGAGCAAACAGG
Molecule: ribosomal RNA, 255 nt
Filed under: uncultured bacterium
Lineage: Bacteria
Description: partial 16S ribosomal RNA
Rfam family: Bacterial small subunit ribosomal RNA
Source: RNAcentral